Non-coding RNA from Danio rerio (zebrafish), 54 nucleotides. The record is from Rfam. NCBI's taxonomy places the organism in Eukaryota, Metazoa, Chordata, Actinopteri, Cypriniformes, Danionidae.
UAUUAUUAUUAUUAUAAGUCGCUUUGGAUAAAAGCGUCUGCUAAAUGACUAAAU